AUGGUGUUCUUGGCGCUGCUCGUGGGGGCAGAGCUCGACGGCCUCACCAACCUGCAGCCCCGCGGCGGCUGCGACGACCCCAGCUACCCUUACUACUUCAAGUGCAAGUUAUGUUCGAGGGAGGGAUCAGUUGUGAUGAUUCCUGGGCAGGGAACACCACUGACUGCUGAGCAGAGCCAGAAAGGAGAGAUGACUUGUUUGAUGGUCUUUGAAUGCAGAGGCUAUGAACCUAUUGAGUUCGCUUUUGGUAAUGGCUGGAAGGCUGAAUCUGUACAUGGGACACCAUUUGACAUUGAUCUUUCUGAAGGAGAGUUUGAUGAGUAUGAUGAGAAAGGGAGAGUGCCCUGUCGCUCUAUCCAAGCUGCAGUCAACAUUCAAAGUGGUAUAGAAACACUCAUUUGCUAA
Molecule: ribosomal RNA, 405 nt
Filed under: Triticum aestivum (bread wheat)
Lineage: Eukaryota; Viridiplantae; Streptophyta; Magnoliopsida; Poales; Poaceae
Description: partial small subunit ribosomal RNA
Source: RNAcentral